Molecule: long non-coding RNA, 980 nt
Organism: Aedes albopictus (Asian tiger mosquito)
Lineage: Eukaryota; Metazoa; Arthropoda; Insecta; Diptera; Culicidae
Exons: 3
Source: RefSeq, a predicted model, not a curated record
UACGCUACUCAAGUCAGGGAGGGUGCAGGCACGUCAAACUCGAACAAAAUACGCCUACCUACCAUGCAUCGAGCGCGCUUUCCCAAACAACACAAUGCGAUUUCGCGGACCAUCCCCAUCGGCAACACAAAUUAAUUUCCAAGCAGGAUUCGACCAAGCCCAGGACGCGGUGUCAGUCGACAUUAACACACCCACAAAAGAUAAGCAGCAGGCGCCGCUUGCGGAUUCUCUGACUCAAAUAGACAGUGGACAAAUGAACCGCUUUGUAUUACAGUUGCCCCUACCAGCAUAAAUAUGACAACGACGCUCAUGAGUGUAUGGCAGUUUUUAGAACAGUUUACACGACAGCAGCUUUUGUCAAAAUGCACACCGUUAAAUCGAAGAAAAAUGAAAACAAAUCAAAAGUGACUGCUUCAUUCUAAAUUUCUUCCGAAAAAGUUAUCGCGUAAUCAUUAAUUUUCAGCUUUGCUCAUCUCCCCAAACACUUAAGGAAGAAAACCAUCCUCAGAUCCAGUUCAAGGCUCACGAGAACUUUUCCAGCUAGCGCAGCAUCCGUGUUUGCACUACAGCGAUCUAUUUCAGACGUUUGGCUAUGAAAAGUAAUAUCGACGCCUUGUAUGGAAUGACACACUUGGCCCUGCAUAUCAGAAUUAUGGUCAAGGACCUUUUUUUUUGAAUGGGAUCGGUAAUAGCGAUUACGUCGAACUUGUCAUCCCGCUACAAUCGUUCAACCAAGAGGAAUCACAGCAAGCUUCGCCGGCCCCGAUGUGUCAACGUUAGAGGGGUACCGCUCGGAAUAAUGACUGGGAAACCCGAACUUAGGAAAAUAAGAAAAACAAACUGCAUGGAAAAUAAAUUUUGCUCUACUUUCGCUUCCUGAGGGCUGGCAUCAUCGAUGGCAUUGAUCCGUUUCUUUCUACAUACCACCGCGAAAUGACCGAAGGAACCACAUUCGUGACACUUAAGUCUCAAUGCCGGAC